UUUUGAGGAACAUAUCCACUUGUGAGUACAAUUUUAGGUUUCCAGAUAACUUUUGAGAAGAUUUCACACCUUCAGAAACUUCAACCACACAAAUAAAAAACCCAAAUCUGAGUAAUGAUAAAGAAAUUGCUAAUUUAAAGAUUGAAAAUAGAGGAUCUGUUAUAAAAGGUAUUAGCAUUACUUUAGCCCCAGAACUUCCCAGCCACCUUGGAAAUAAAUAUAAAAAGAUUCAAAUUGGUGACUUAAUAGACUUGUUUGGAUAAAGACUUGUUUGGAUAAAGCCUCCGUUUUGAACAGUGGAGAUUUUUCAGGCAAGAUUAAACAUUUCAAUAAUAAAAGAAAUGCAAAACAAUAGAUUACCAAUCAGAAAUACAAAUUGACUUAAUGUGAAUGUCUCCCAUAACUUUGCCCAGUUGAAGAAGGCACUAUGUGGGCUCCCUGGUUUGCACAUUUGCCACCAGGGAGCAAUCAAAUAUGAAGUUGCAUGUAGAAAAGUG
This 497-nucleotide long non-coding RNA is filed under the name Pan troglodytes (chimpanzee). RNAcentral describes it as "long non-coding RNA NONPTRT003186". The record is from RNAcentral. Lineage: Eukaryota; Metazoa; Chordata; Mammalia; Primates; Hominidae.